This 276-nucleotide ribosomal RNA is filed under the name Triticum aestivum (bread wheat). RNAcentral describes it as "partial small subunit ribosomal RNA". Lineage: Eukaryota; Viridiplantae; Streptophyta; Magnoliopsida; Poales; Poaceae. The record is from RNAcentral.
AUGGAAAUUCUUCAUGAUUUUGGCGCAGCCUCGGGGCUGCACAUCAACCCCUCAAAGUCGACGGCCCUACCCAUCAGAUGCGAUAAUAUAGACCUAGGGCACAUACUGCAAAAUUUCGGAGGAAUAGUAGGGAACUUCCCAACGACUUAUCUGGGUCUGCCGCUGAUGCUAGCCAGGCUGCGACUCGCGAACCUACAGUUCAUCAUAGAUAGGAUCAAAGCCCGCCUUGCGGGAUGGAAAGGGAAGCUGCUUCCAUUGGCUAGUAGACGUGUGCUG